UCCGAGUUGACCCCGGCAGUAUCCCAUGAGUUCCCACCAUUACGUGCUGGCAACAUAGGACGAGGGUUGCGCUCGUUGCGGGACUUAACCCAACAUCUCACGACACGAGCUGACGACAACCAUGCACCACCUGUAUACCGACCUUGCGGGGCGAACAUUUCUGAACGUUUCCGGUAUAUGUCAAGCCUUGGUAAGGUUCUUCGCGUUGCAUCGAAUUAAACCACAUGCUCCACCGCUUGUGCGGGCCCCCGUCAAUUCCUUUGAGUUUCAGCCUUGCGGCCGUACUCCCCAGGCGGGGCACUUACUGCGUUAGCUGCGGCACGGAACCCGUGGAAGGGAUCCCACACCUAGCGCCCAACGUUUACGGCGUGGACUAC
RNAcentral lists this unclassified non-coding RNA (377 nucleotides) under uncultured Actinomycetes bacterium. RNAcentral describes it as "uncultured actinobacterium contains 16S-23S intergenic spacer region". Lineage: Bacteria; Bacillati; Actinomycetota; Actinomycetes. The record is from RNAcentral.